RNAcentral lists this ribosomal RNA (253 nucleotides) under uncultured bacterium. Its description in RNAcentral is "partial 16S ribosomal RNA". It matches the Rfam family "Bacterial small subunit ribosomal RNA", at positions 524 to 776 of the family's 1533-position model. The record is from RNAcentral.
UACAGAGGGUGCGAGCGUUAAUCGGAAUUACUGGGCGUAAAGCGUGCGUAGACGGUUAUGUAAGUCGGAUGUGAAAGCCCCGGGCUCAACCUGGGAAUGGCAUUCGAGACUGCAUAGCUAGGAUGCGGAAGAGGGAAGCGGAAUUUCCGGUGUAGCGGUGAAAUGCGCAGAUAUCGGGAGGAACACCAGUAGCGAAGGCGGCUCGCUGGGCCAUUCCUGACGCUGAGACGCGAAAGCUAGGGGAGCGAACAGG